Molecule: ribosomal RNA, 1010 nt
Rfam family: Bacterial small subunit ribosomal RNA
GCCAGCUUGCUGGGUGGAUUAGUGGCGAACGGGUGAGUAACACGUGAGUAACCUGCCCUUAACUCUGGGAUAAGCCUGGGAAACUGGGUCUAAUACCGGAUAGGAGCGUCCACCGCAUGGUGGGUGUUGGAAAGAUUUAUCGGUUUUGGAUGGACUCGCGGCCUAUCAGCUUGUUGGUGAGGUAAUGGCUCACCAAGGCGACGACGGGUAGCCGGCCUGAGAGGGUGACCGGCCACACUGGGACUGAGACACGGCCCAGACUCCUACGGGAGGCAGCAGUGGGGAAUAUUGCACAAUGGGCGAAAGCCUGAUGCAGCGACGCCGCGUGAGGGAUGACGGCCUUCGGGUUGUAAACCUCUUUCAGUAGGGAAGAAGCGAAAGUGACGGUACCUGCAGAAGAAGCACCGGCUAACUACGUGCCAGCAGCCGCGGUAAUACGUAGGGUGCGAGCGUUAUCCGGAAUUAUUGGGCGUAAAGAGCUCGUAGGCGGUUUGUCGCGUCUGUCGUGAAAGUCCGGGGCUUAACCCCGGAUCUGCGGUGGGUACGGGCAGACUAGAGUGCAGUAGGGGAGACUGGAAUUCCUGGUGUAGCGGUGGAAUGCGCAGAUAUCAGGAGGAACACCGAUGGCGAAGGCAGGUCUCUGGGCUGUAACUGACGCUGAGGAGCGAAAGCAUGGGGAGCGAACAGGAUUAGAUACCCUGGUAGUCCAUGCCGUAAACGUUGGGCACUAGGUGUGGGGACCAUUCCACGGUUUCCGCGCCGCAGCUAACGCAUUAAGUGCCCCGCCUGGGGAGUACGGCCGCAAGGCUUAAACUCAAAGGAAUUGACGGGGGCCGCACAAGCGGCGGAGCAUGCGGAUUAAUUCGAUGCAACGCGAAGAACCUUACCAAGGCUUGACAUGUUCUCGAUCGCCGUAGAGAUACGGUUCCCCUUUGGGCGGUUCACAGGUGGUGCAUGGUUGUCGUCAGCUCGUGUCGUGAGAUGUUGGGUUAAGUCCCGCAACGAGCGCA